GAUGAACGCUGGCGGUAUGCUUAACACAUGCAAGUCGAACGGACUCUUCGGAGUUAGUGGCGGAAGGGUGAGUAACGCGUGAGAAUCUGGCUUUGGGUUCGGGACAACCACUGGAAACGGUGGCUAAUACCGGAUGUGCCGAGAGGUAAAAGAGAAAUUGCCUGAAGAUGAGCUCGCGUCUGAUUAGCUAGUUGGUGAGGUAAAGGCUCACCAAGGCAGCGAUCAGUAGCUGGUCUGAGAGGAUGACCAGCCACACUGGGACUGAGACACGGCCCAGACUCCUACGGGAGGCAGCAGUGGGGAAUUGUCCGCAAUGGGCGAAAGCCUGACGGAGCAAUACCGCGUGAGGGAAGAAGGCUCUUGGGUUGUAAACCUCUUUUCUUAGGGAAGAACAAAAUGACGGUACCUAAGGAAUCAGCAUCGGCUAACUCCGUG
Molecule: ribosomal RNA, 435 nt
Filed under: uncultured bacterium
Lineage: Bacteria
Description: partial 16S ribosomal RNA
Rfam family: Bacterial small subunit ribosomal RNA
Source: RNAcentral